AGUGAAUAGAUACCCUGGUAGUCCAGGGUGUAAACGCUGCGGGCUUGGUGUUGGGGGUCCUUUGAGGGCGCCCAGUGCCGGAGAGAAAGUUGUUAAGCCUGCUGCUUGGGGAGUACGUCCGCAAGGAUGAAACUUAAAGGAAUUGGCGGGGGAGCACCGCAACGGGAGGAGCGUGCGGUUCAAUUGGAUUCAACGCCGGACAACUCACCAGGAGCGACGGUUACAUGAAGGCCAGGCUGAUGACCUUGCCUGAUUUUCCGAGAGGUGGUGCAUGGCCGUCGUCAGUUCGUACCGUAAGGCGUUCUCUUAAGUGAGAUAACGAACGAGACCCACACCGCUAAUUGCUAGUGUUCUCUCCGGAGGGCACGCACAUUAACGGGACCGCUGUCGCUAAGACAGAGGAAGGAGAGGUCAACGGUAGGUCCGUAUGCCCCGAAUCUCCUGGGCUACACGCGCGCUACAAA
RNAcentral lists this ribosomal RNA (464 nucleotides) under uncultured bacterium. RNAcentral's name for it is "bacterial SSU rRNA". It matches the Rfam family "Archaeal small subunit ribosomal RNA", at positions 725 to 1187 of the family's 1478-position model. The record is from RNAcentral.